CCGCCACCGGAGCCCGCCCCUCCGCGCUGCCCCUCGCCGGGUCUCGCCAGCCCGUCCGCCCGCCCGCCGUCCCCCCGCCGCCCGGGGAGCCCCGCGGGGCGCUGAGCGCCCGCCGGCGAAAGUUAGACCAGCGGCCGACGGGCACCUACCCGCUAACUGCAAUGUCUCCUCCGGGCGCGGGGUGCUAAGACGAGGUGAAAUCCCUUUAGUGGUCAUGAGGCGGCUUCAGAGACAAACAACACAAUGCGAGUGCAAAUAACAAAAGGAAAAAAAAAAAAAGAACACGAGAGGGAGAGGGAGACCAGGAACAAUGGGGGAGGAGAGGCUCGCCGCGCCUGGCCGCCGCCGGCACCCUGGCAGAAGCAGGAGCAGGAGGCAGAGGAAGAAGACGAGGUGGCGGCCGCGGGGAGGGGGCUGCGCGGGGAGUCUCCUCAGAGCAGUCCCAAGCUCCUGCCCGCCGGCCGCGCACCGGGGCGGCCCUGCGGCUGCGGCGGGGCUGAUAACGCCCUUUGCUCUGCCUGUACUUCAUACAGCUGACCGGGAGCAAGCACCGCGGUUCCCGGGCGCGGGGGGAAGAAGCGGUGAAACCGGCCGCCGCAGCCUGGGGACAGGCAAGGGGGAGCCCGCCGGUGCUGCUGCUAAUAAAGUCACGCUCUGCAAGUAA
Long non-coding RNA from Pezoporus occidentalis (night parrot), 664 nucleotides. RefSeq lists it as uncharacterized. NCBI's taxonomy places the organism in Eukaryota, Metazoa, Chordata, Aves, Psittaciformes, Psittacidae. The record is from RefSeq and is a predicted model, not a curated record. The transcript is spliced from 3 exons.